GACCUGAUGGUGUAGUGGUAACACGCCUGCUGGACUUGGAACAAAUCUAAGAGAAAGUAAGCAGGAGAUCCCUCGUUCGAAUCGGGGUCAGGUCA
This is a non-coding RNA of Mycena leptocephala, 95 nucleotides long. Lineage: Eukaryota; Fungi; Basidiomycota; Agaricomycetes; Agaricales; Mycenaceae. The record is from the annotation of a GenBank genome assembly.